AGUGACAAACCUCUCUUGGUGUGCAGGCGGUCGGACACUCAGCUGGACAGGCAAAGCAGAAUACCUUUCUGUCAGUGUACGUUUCAUUCAUACAUCGUUUGGGUCAGGGUCUCCGGCCAGAUACCCGCAGCUAAUGCCCUCAAGUGUGAGGUGCAACACCUCAAGGCUGGGCACCGCUCAAGGUCGCAAGCCUGGGUAAGAGAAGAGAGGACUGAGGUCCGGCCCCACCGCGCUCUGUGUAGAGGACGCAAAGCCCAGCGCGGGCCCGGUGGUCCCAAGGCACCGCGCCUACGUGCCCAGGUCCCACACAUAGGGCGACCGGAAUCAGGUGGUGGGGCCGCACAGACUCCGCGACCACUCGCCACCAUCGGCCCAGCCCGCUGGCGUUGCUGGACGCAGCUCCACUUUGGGGCCGGCUCCCGUGAGCACUGGAGCCCGCGGGUCCCUGCUGGAACGCUGCACAGUCGCGGCAACCCAGCCAUGACGUACCACCCGCCGACAGUUGCCACGCCUGCCCAGGACCGCCCUCACGGAGGCGGUGGCCACAGACUACCCAUCCAGAAGAAGUCCUUCCAUGUCAAAGAUGAGGUAUUCUUGCAGAGAGGAGGGAAGACAUCAUUGCUGUCAACCAUUUUAUUUGAUUUCAGCAUAGUGCAAUGUACAUAUUAAGGAUUCUCACUCACUAGACGUGACUGGCCAUCUGAGAGAGGGGCUCAGGCUUCAUCACACCCCACCCUUUAUCAUCGUAUUGUUCCAGGAUUUAGGGUUCCUGACUUCAAACAAUUCCCUCCUCGCUUGCCACUCUCUCCCUUUCUCCUUCCUUCCCUUCCUUUCCUCCUUUCUUCCUCAUUUUCUGUCCUCUUAGACUCCCUCCCUUUCUCCUUCCCUCCCUUUCUUUCCCCCUCUCUUCCUUUGUCUUUCCCCUGUCUUCCUUUUUCUCUUCCUUCUUUCCUGUCCUCCUCCUUGACUCCCUUCUUCUCUUCUUGCUGCCUUUCCUUUCCCCUUCACUGUUUCUCUGCCUUCCUUGAUGCUCUCCUUUACUCUCCCUCUCUCCUUUCUUCUGUUCCUCCUCCUCUCUUUCCAUCUUCCUCCUAACCUCCUCCUCAACUCUCUCCCUGUCUCCUUCCUUCCUUUCCUUUCCUUCUUCUCUUUUUCCCUGUCUUCCUUCCUGACCUCCUCCUCAACUCCCUUUCUCUCUUCUUCCCUCCCUUCAUUUCCUCCUUCUCUCUUUCCCUAUUGUCCUUCCUUUCCUCCUUGACUCCCUCCAUCUCUGCUUCCUUCACUUCCUUCUGUCCUUCUCUCUUUUCCUGUCUUCCUGUCCUCCUCCUAAACUGCCUCCUCCUCUUCUGCCCUCCCUCCCUCUUUUCCUUUUUUCUUUCCCUCCUGAUGUUUCCUCUGGCAUAGCCCCCUCCCUCCAGGACCUGCGAGGGGUCCGUGUGCCCAUAAUGGAUACAACUGGGGAUGCCAGCAUCUUGGGCCUCUACAGUGUCUUGCACCACAUUCACCAGGAGGGGUGCCCACUGGCCCUGCCCACUGAAGCUUCUCUCCUUGAGUGGAAUCACAGCUGGAGCUCACCAUGCAGAGUGCUGAGUGCCAUCUCUAAUGUGCACCUUGCAUCAUCACUGCUUCUUAAUAAAACACAUGCUCACCUGCAAGGCUCUUAGUCCUGUCACAUUUUGUGCAAGUUGCUUGUUGCUCUGUUCACUUUUCAGAAGUGUUUAUAAAGGCCAUGUGCUGAGAGUCUGAGAUGAAACAGUGAUUAGCUGUUCAUGGUAAAAACUGGCUUGUUUCAUAACAACAAUUGUAAUAGCCACCAGCUGUCAUAUAAUUAGGAUAUACUCACAACUUUAUAAAUGAUCUCUUAUUUCAUUGGCUCAGCAACUUUGCAAGGUAGACAGUGGAGUGCUUCUUCUUACAGAAAUAAAGAAAUGGAGCUUGAGGGAAGCCAGGUACCUUGCCACAAGUCGUAUAACUAAAAACAAUCAGGAUGGAGAGUUGAACCUCCAUUGGUCUUCCUUUCUCAAAAAAAGAGCCAAAAGGCAAAAUCUAUUAUUAUGUUUUCUAUGCCUUUUCAAAAUUUCUUAAAUGGUAAGUAAUUAAUACCACAUGUGAAUAGAUAAUAUCAAAAUCAAAUACAAAUAUGACUGUCCAAUUAAAGGGGGGGAAACAAUAAGGAGAAGGA
This 2182-nucleotide long non-coding RNA is filed under the name Homo sapiens (human). RNAcentral describes it as "HSALNT0288401". Lineage: Eukaryota; Metazoa; Chordata; Mammalia; Primates; Hominidae. The record is from RNAcentral.